Non-coding RNA from Vicia faba (fava bean), 306 nucleotides. The record is from the annotation of a GenBank genome assembly. NCBI's taxonomy places the organism in Eukaryota, Viridiplantae, Streptophyta, Magnoliopsida, Fabales, Fabaceae.
AUGAAGCUCACAGUCAUACUUAUCACCAUUAUCACAAUCAACCAACUGGAUCCUACUUAUCGGAAUCAACAAGCAGGUCUUGAUCACAUGUUGAGGAAUUUACUGCAUAUUAAUAUAACCUUCCAUAAAUAUUACUGGUUCUAUAUUUAUAAACAAUCCUACAUUACAAAUGACAAAUUUAAUGUACGGGUGUUUGGAAACACCUAUGUCACUUACAAGAAUGUUUUUCUCAACAACCUUUGGAACAUCUACUUCCUUCUUCCAUACACAAUAUGUUGGAAGUUUUUUAAGGUCCUCAUCCAUUGA